This 261-nucleotide ribosomal RNA is filed under the name uncultured prokaryote. Its description in RNAcentral is "partial 16S ribosomal RNA". It matches the Rfam family "Bacterial small subunit ribosomal RNA", at positions 524 to 784 of the family's 1533-position model. The record is from RNAcentral.
UACGUAGGGGGCAAGCGUUAUCCGGAUUUACUGGGUGUAAAGGGAGCGUAGGUGGCAAAGUAAGUCAGAUGUGAAAGCCCGUGGCUUAACUGCGGGAUUGCAUCAGAAACUGCUUUGCUAGAGUGCAGGAGAGGUAAGUGGAAUUCCUAGUGUAGCGGUGAAAUGCGUAGAUAUCAGGAAGAACACCAGUGGCGAAGGCGGCUUUCUGGACUGUAACUGACGCUGAGGCACGAAAGCUGGGGGAGCGAACAGGAUUAGAUA